This 638-nucleotide ribosomal RNA is filed under the name Dufourea sp. 1 RBG-2015. Its description in RNAcentral is "eukaryotic LSU rRNA". It matches the Rfam family "Eukaryotic large subunit ribosomal RNA", at positions 583 to 788 of the family's 3401-position model. The record is from RNAcentral. Lineage: Eukaryota; Metazoa; Arthropoda; Insecta; Hymenoptera; Halictidae.
AAAGUUCGAAUGGGGAGAUUCAUCGGCAGCGAAGCUGGCUCCCGUUGGUGCGUGAUACCCUGACUUUGGGGCCUUCGUGGUUCCAAUGCGAGGGCACACAAUCUUCGGUGAACGGUUCCGGCUAUACGUAGUCGUGCACUUCUCCCUUAGUAGAACGUCGCGACCCGUUGCGUGUCGGUCUACGGCCCGAGUUGUUUGACUGGCGCGUCGUCUCGUGCGCACGCGUCAGACGCUCGAUCGCCCGGCCGGCUGCGUGACGGUACUCUGACGGUAUCGGGCAGCAACCAAAAUCCAUUUUCGAAUGUACGUGCGUCAGGCCCGCCGCAAGCUCGGUCAGUUUACCCGGAGGUGUACGGACCUGGUGCCGUCCCCGGGCCUGGCCAGCUGUUUGCAGGCGGUGUCCUUGGACUGGCCAAGCUUCGAAUUACCGGUCGGCGACGCUACUGCUUUGGGUACUCUCAGGACCCGUCUUGAAACACGGACCAAGGAGUCUAACAUGUGCGCGAGUCAUUGGGAUAUAUAAACCUAAAGGCGCAAUGAAAGUGAAGGUCGGCCUUUGCGUCGACCGAGGGAGGAUGGGCCGUGUUACGAUUUACGGCCUCGCACUCCCGGGGCGUCUCGUUCUCAUUGCGAGAAGA